GCCGGAUGGGUUGGCAUGCGCCUGUAGUCCCAGCUACUUGGGAGACUCAGAUAGGAGGAUCGCUUGAGUCUAGGAGUUCUGGGAUAUAGUGUAUUAUGCCGAUGGGGUGUCUGCAUUAAGUUCGGCAUCAAUACGGUGAUCUCUUGGGAGCGGGGAUGGGGUGGGGUGGGGGAGCCACCAGAUUGCCUAAGGAGGGGUGAAUCGGCUUAGUUCAGAAAUAGAGCAGGUCAAAACUGUUGUGUUGACCAGUAGUGGAGUUGUUCCUGUGAAUAGUCACUGCACUCCAGCCUGGGCAACAUAUUGAGACCCCAUCUUU
RNAcentral lists this signal recognition particle RNA (316 nucleotides) under Otolemur garnettii (small-eared galago). RNAcentral describes it as "Metazoan signal recognition particle RNA". It matches the Rfam family "Metazoan signal recognition particle RNA". From Rfam's summary of the family: The signal recognition particle (SRP) is a universally conserved ribonucleoprotein. It is involved in the co-translational targeting of proteins to membranes. The eukaryotic SRP consists of a 300-nucleotide 7S RNA and six proteins: SRPs 72, 68, 54, 19, 14, and 9. The record is from Rfam by way of RNAcentral. Lineage: Eukaryota; Metazoa; Chordata; Mammalia; Primates; Galagidae.